Molecule: ribosomal RNA, 253 nt
Filed under: uncultured bacterium
Lineage: Bacteria
Description: partial 16S ribosomal RNA
Rfam family: Bacterial small subunit ribosomal RNA
Source: RNAcentral
UACGAAGGGGGCUAGCGUUGCUCGGAAUUACUGGGCGUAAAGCGCACGUAGGCGGCUCUUUAAGUCGGGGGUGAAAUCCUGGAGCUCAACUCCAGAACUGCCUUCGAUACUGUAGAGCUUGAGUUCGGGAGAGGUGAGUGGAACUGCGAGUGUAGAGGUGAAAUUCGUAGAUAUUCGCAAGAACACCAGUGGCGAAGGCGGCUCACUGGCCCGAUACCGACGCUGAGGUGCGAAAGCGUGGGGAGCAAACAGG